UACAGAGGGUGCAAGCGUUGUUCGGAUUCACUGGGCGUAAAGGGUGCGUAGGUGGUGGGGUAAGUCGGAUGUGAAAGCUCGGAGCUCAACUCCGAAAUGGCAUUGGAAACUACCCUGCUAGAGGAUUGGAGGGGGGACUGGAAUACUUGGUGUAGCAGUGAAAUGCGUAGAUAUCAAGUGGAACACCAGUGGCGAAGGCGAGUCCCUGGACAAUACCUGACACUGAGGCACGAAAGCUAGGGGAGCAAACAGG
RNAcentral lists this ribosomal RNA (253 nucleotides) under uncultured bacterium. RNAcentral's name for it is "partial 16S ribosomal RNA". It matches the Rfam family "Bacterial small subunit ribosomal RNA", at positions 524 to 776 of the family's 1533-position model. The record is from RNAcentral.